AAGUUUAUACUUCAUAGUUCAUACUCCAUACUUCCAUAUGGUAAAACUCAAAAGUCCAUAAAUUACAAAAUACAAAUAGAGUCUAAUGUUAAAAGUUUAUACAUCACAAAACAAGAACCCGAAAUAUUUUGGAGGAAAGUAGAUCAAAUCCUUCUUGCAAGAUCAACUUGCAUCUGCAUAAAAAAAUAAAUCAAUUUAAACAAGUUAAGUAUUACAGACCAAAUCAAGCAAGAAUCAUUUAGCAAACAUUGAGACUAAGAGCAAAGGAACAAAAUCAGAAAACGUAUGCCUAACUUCCUGAACAGCAGACCUUUUUGGCUAAAAACAGUAUAACUCGGCUAAGAAUAUCAGGUUGGUCUCUUCAUAACAAUUGUAACAGACAACCUAAAGAUUAUUUGAGAACUGGAAUCGCAGCAAAAGGAUUUUUCUACAAAUACUUAUGAUUUUCCAAAGUUCAUAUACAGUAGAGAAAAACUACUAACUUCCUGAGUUCCUGACCAGCAGACCUUUUUGGCUAAAAACAGUAUAGCUCGGCUAAGAAUAUCAAGUUAGUCUCUUCAUAACAAUUGUAACAGACAACCUAAAGAUUAUUUGAGAACUGGAAUCGCAGCAAAUAGAAUUUUCUACAAAUACUUAUGAUUUUCCAAAAUUCCUAUACAGUAGAUACAGUAGAGAAAAACUGCUAACUUCCUGAGUUCCUGUCUUCCUGAUCAGCAGACCUUUUUGGCUAAAAACAGUAUAGCUCGGCUACGAAUUUCAAUCUCUUCAUAAGAAUUGUAACAGACAACCUGAAGAUUAUUUGAGAACUCGAAUCGCAGCAAAAAGAAUUUUCUACAAAUACUUAUGAUUUUCCAAAAUUCCUAUACAGUAGAGAAAAACUGCUAACUUCCUGAGUUCCUGUCUUCCUGACCAGCAGACCUUGUUGGCUAAAAACAGUAUAGCUCGGCUAAGAAUUUCAAGUUGGUCUCUUCAUAACAAUUGUAAUAGACAACCUAAAGAUUAUUUGAGAACUGGAAUCGCAGCAAAAUGAUUUUUCUACAAAUACUUAUGAUUUUCCAAAGUUCAUAUACAGUAGAGAAGAUGAGGACGUUGUGAAAAGAAUAAAAAAUACCUGAGAAGAUGAGGACGAUUUGUCCAUUGCACUGAUCGCAGCACCACGACCACGGCCACGACCAGUUGAGCCCUGCUUCGAUGGGUUCAAUUUACCCCUCUUCAUUGUGAUGGUCAGGCCGAGAGGAGAGGAGAGGAGAGGUUGGAGACUUGGAGGAUUGGAGUCCGGUGGCGGAGCGGGGAGAUGAGAUCAAAUUAGGGAGGAGAGGAGGGCAGGAGGCGACAAAGAAAAAAAGGACUAGAGGAGCCAAGGAGAGGUCGAGAGGGAUGAGAGGAGG
RNAcentral lists this long non-coding RNA (1388 nucleotides) under Fragaria vesca (wild strawberry). Its description in RNAcentral is "long non-coding RNA (FVES_LNC001047)". The record is from RNAcentral. Lineage: Eukaryota; Viridiplantae; Streptophyta; Magnoliopsida; Rosales; Rosaceae.